CAGCAUGAGGAAGACCGAAAUGG
RNAcentral lists this non-coding RNA (23 nucleotides) under Cricetulus griseus (Chinese hamster). Lineage: Eukaryota; Metazoa; Chordata; Mammalia; Rodentia; Cricetidae. The record is from RNAcentral.